RNAcentral lists this ribosomal RNA (253 nucleotides) under uncultured bacterium. Its description in RNAcentral is "partial 16S ribosomal RNA". It matches the Rfam family "Bacterial small subunit ribosomal RNA", at positions 524 to 776 of the family's 1533-position model. The record is from RNAcentral.
UACGUGGGGGGCGAACGUUGUUCGGAGUCACUGGGCUUAAAGGGUGCGUAGGUGGUUGCGUAAGUCACGUGUGAAAGCCCUCGGCUUACCCGGGGAAUUGCGCGUUAUACUGCGUGACUUGAGGAUUUCAGGGGAAAGGGGAACUCCAGGUGUAGCGGUGAAAUGCGCAGAUAUCUGGGGGAAGGCCGGCGGCGAAGGCGCCUUUCUGGGAAAUUCCUGACACUGAGGCACGAAAGCGUGGGGAGCAAACAGG